RNAcentral lists this ribosomal RNA (500 nucleotides) under uncultured bacterium. Its description in RNAcentral is "partial 16S ribosomal RNA". It matches the Rfam family "Bacterial small subunit ribosomal RNA", at positions 30 to 523 of the family's 1533-position model. The record is from RNAcentral.
AUUGAACGCUGGCGGCAUGCCUUACACAUGCAAGUCGAACGGCAGCACGGGAGCAAUCCUGGUGGCGAGUGGCGAACGGGUGAGUAAAGUAUCGGAACGUGCCCAGUCGUGGGGGAUAACGUAGCGAAAGUUACGCUAAUACCGCAUACGAUCUAUGGAUGAAAGCGGGGGAUCGCAAGACCUCGCGCGAUUGGAGCGGCCGAUAUCAGAUUAGGUAGUUGGUGGGGUAAAGGCUCACCAAGCCGACGAUCUGUAGCUGGUCUGAGAGGACGCCCAGCCCAACUGGGACUGAGACACGGCCCAGACUCCUACGGGAGGCAGCAGUGGGGAAUUUUGGACAAUGGGCGAAAGCCUGAUUCAGCAAUGCCGCGUGCAGGAUGAAGGCCUUCGGGUUGUAAACUGCUUUUGUACGGAACGAAAAGGUUUGGCCUAAUAAGCUGAGCUCAUGACGGUACCGUAAGAAUAAGCACCGGCUAACUACGUGCCAGCCGCCGCCGUAA